RNAcentral lists this ribosomal RNA (194 nucleotides) under uncultured Syntrophus sp. Its description in RNAcentral is "partial 16S ribosomal RNA". It matches the Rfam family "Bacterial small subunit ribosomal RNA", at positions 1191 to 1382 of the family's 1533-position model. The record is from RNAcentral. Lineage: Bacteria; Pseudomonadati; Thermodesulfobacteriota; Syntrophia; Syntrophales; Syntrophaceae.
CCUCAUGGCCUUUAUGCCCAGGGCUACACACGUGCUACAAUGGGUGGUACAAAGAGCAGCAAGCUCGCGAGAGCAAGCGAAAUCUCAAAAAACCAUCCUCAGUUCGGAUUGAAGUCUGCAACUCGACUUCAUGAAGUCGGAAUCGCUAGUAAUCGCGGAUCAGCAUGCCGCGGUCGAAUACGUUCCCGGGCCUU